Long non-coding RNA from Homo sapiens (human), 555 nucleotides. Ensembl annotates it as long intergenic non-protein coding RNA 2660. NCBI's taxonomy places the organism in Eukaryota, Metazoa, Chordata, Mammalia, Primates, Hominidae. The record is from Ensembl.
CUUUGAGCAAGAGGACAAACCUGGGUAGGGAUCUCUAUGAUGUUUUCUGCGUUGCCCGUGGACGUUCAUCUUUCUGAUUUGUUAGCUGAAGAUGAGGAUCUGGAGCAGGAGCUCGGAGUGCCAUUGUUCCAUGGGCAGAUGUGCAGCAGAGAUUGUUGAGCUUGCCUGGCCCAAGGCACAGAGUUCUGGGAAGGAUGGAAGAGAGGGGAAGGGAGAGCACCAACAUCACGGACCGCCUUUCACAUCAGCGGCAGCAGCAGUAAAACCCCCAGAAAACCUGGGGUAGGCGUGGGGGUCUGUUUAGAUCAGCCCUGGAGGCAGCCUCCCAUGUCCCUCCUGGACAUUUGUUCACCUUCACAGAACCCACUUCUUUCCCAUCGUCUGUUCGGAUAUCUGUUUCCUGCACCGGGCAGGUAGCACAGCACACUCAGGGGUUUCUCUGACUCACCUUGGCAGCCCCAGCCCUCAGCACACUGCCUACCACUUAGUAUUUAGAGAACCUAUGCCCUUUGAAAAAAGUAGGUAAAUAGUAAAAUAUUAUUUUUACCAUUGGAA